ACUCCUAGGGAGGCAGCAGUGGGGAAUAUUGCACAAUGGGCGCAAGCCUGAUGCAGCCAUGCCGCGUGUAUGAAGAAGGCCUUCGGGUUGUAAAGUACUUUCAGCAGUGAGGAAGGUGGAUAUGUUAAUAGCAUAUUCAUUUGUACGUUAGCUGCAGAAGAAGCACCGGCUAACUCCGUGCCAGCAGCCGCGGUAAUACGGAGGGUGCGAGCGUUAAUCGGAAUUACUGGGCGUAAAGCGCAUGCAGGUGGUUUGUUAAGUCAGAUGUGAAAGCCCGGGGCUCAACCUCGGAAUUGCAUUUGAAACUGGCAAACUAGAGUACUGUAGAGGGGGGUAGAAUUUCAGGUGUAGCGGUGAAAUGCGUAGAGAUCUGAAGGAUACCGGUGGCGAAGGCGGCCCCCUGGACAGAUACUGACACUCAGAUGCGAAAGCGUGGGGAGCAAACAGGAUUAGAUCCCCUGGUAGGCUCUGC
This 472-nucleotide ribosomal RNA is filed under the name uncultured bacterium. RNAcentral's name for it is "bacterial SSU rRNA". It matches the Rfam family "Bacterial small subunit ribosomal RNA", at positions 335 to 800 of the family's 1533-position model. The record is from RNAcentral.